UGUUCAAAGCAGGCAGAUCCAAUUUUCUGCCACCGAAUACAUUAGCAUGGGAUAAUGGAAUAGGACCCUGUCCUCCUAUUUUCAGUUGGUUUUGGCAGCGCGAGGACUAGGGUAAUGAUUAAUAGGGAUAGUUGGGGGCAUUAAUAUUUAAUUGUCAGAGGUGAAAUUCUUGGAUUUAUGAAAGAUUAACUUCUGCGAAAGCAUCUGCCAAGGAUGUUUUCAUUAAUCAAGAACGAAAGUUAGGGGAUCGAAGACGAUCAGAUACCGUCGUAGUCUUAACCAUAAACGAUGCCGACCAGCGAUUAGGAGACGUUGAAUACAAAACACCGCCAUCGGUUGCGGUCGUCCUUGGCGUCUCGGUUUCGGCCGGGGCGCGGGACGUUAGCCCGGCCCUGAGG
This 398-nucleotide ribosomal RNA is filed under the name Acanthamoeba sp. EGM5. RNAcentral describes it as "SSU rRNA". It matches the Rfam family "Eukaryotic small subunit ribosomal RNA", at positions 772 to 1116 of the family's 1831-position model. Lineage: Eukaryota; Discosea; Longamoebia; Acanthamoebidae. The record is from RNAcentral.